AUGCACCUCGCCUGUCUCAUCCUCAUCGUCUUCCUGGGACAGCUCCUGGGCACCACGGGACAGGUCACGGUCACCCAGGAAGAUGGACCAGUCAUGGUGAAGCAGGGACACACCUUCCAGACCACCUGCAAAUACCAGACCAGUUAUCCUCCUUCUUUGCUCUGGUAUAAGCUGCAGAAAGGCCAAGGCCCACAGCUGGUCUCCUAUCAAGCAGGGCCUGGCUCCAAGCGCAAUGGCCGUAUCACCACGCACCUGAACACCACGAGGAAAUCCAGUGUCCUGCGGGUGGAGGAAGUGCAGGGCUCUGACACUGCCUUGUACCUCUGUGCUGUGCAAGACACCCUGCUGCAGGGAGCUUCCUCAGCUAUGUGUGCAUGGUGGAUUUGUUUUCGAUUCUGUGACGGUGAUGUGCGGGAUGGGACACGGCUGUCUCUUGGCUCUGGCGAUGCCGAAAUUGUUGCGUGUCUGAUUGUGCUGGUGCUGUGA
Molecule: non-coding RNA, 486 nt
Organism: Hirundo rustica (Barn swallow)
Lineage: Eukaryota; Metazoa; Chordata; Aves; Passeriformes; Hirundinidae
Source: the annotation of a RefSeq genome assembly